This is a long non-coding RNA of Marmota flaviventris (yellow-bellied marmot), 760 nucleotides long. RefSeq lists it as uncharacterized. NCBI's taxonomy places the organism in Eukaryota, Metazoa, Chordata, Mammalia, Rodentia, Sciuridae. The record is from RefSeq and is a predicted model, not a curated record.
UGUCUGGGGAAGGAGUUGUUGGUAGAACAGGGCUCUUCUGAGCCCUCCUUGGUCACCACAAGUGAGGCUCGGGCAAUGGAUUCAGUGCUGGAAAGAAGAGAUGUAGAAUCUGAAGAUCUGAAUUUGAAGUCUCACUCAACAACUCAGUAAAGGAUUGUGCUCAUCGGGAAGUCCCUACUCAUAAGAGCCCUCAACACAAAUGGACUAUUCAACAGGACCUUGAACGUUGGAAACACAGCUCUCCUCUGUUGGAGGAUAGCAGCUAAGUAGCCCCCUUCUUCAGUGGGCACUUCCUAACCUGACCCCUGGUGAUAGGCCUUUUACUAAUGCUUGCCCCCUGCAUCAUUAGAUUUGUUCAAGACCAGAUUCAAAAAUCUCUAACCAAACCAUUAACCAGCUUCUCUUACAGGACUACCAACCCCUCACCAAAACCGGGCCGUCCAGAGUCAGCAUCACCACCACUUCCCAACCCUCACCAUUACCUCAAUGACAUCCCAUGCCCCUAACAAGGGUCCAGACACUGCCCCUUCCCAGCAGGAAGAAGCUACAGAAGAUUGAUCUAUGCCCCUGUCCCUUAAGGGGCCCAAUAACAAACAAAAAAGGGAGGAAUAUAAGGUCUUGAUUUUACAUUCGUGCAGCCAUCUUAAAUGUUAACCACCAUCUUAUGAGCUCUGAUGCAAGCACACCCAGCCUAUUCCACAGCACCACAACUACAACUCCAAACCCCACCCCACAAAAGCUGGACACCCGAACAUCUGGG